GUCGAGCGGUAGCACAGAGAGCUUGCUCUCGGGUGACGAGCGGCGGACGGGUGAGUAAUGUCUGGGAAACUGCCUGAUGGAGGGGGAUAACUACUGGAAACGGUAGCUAAUACCGCAUAAYGUCGCAAGACCAAAGUGGGGGACCUUCGGGCCUCAUGCCAUCAGAUGUGCCCAGAUGGGAUUAGCUAGUAGGUGGGGUAACGGCUCACCUAGGCGACGAUCCCUAGCUGGUCUGAGAGGAUGACCAGCCACACUGGAACUGAGACACGGUCCAGACUCCUACGGGAGGCAGCAGUGGGGAAUAUUGCACAAUGGGCGCAAGCCUGAUGCAGCCAUGCCGCGUGUAUGAAGAAGGCCUUCGGGUUGUAAAGUACUUUCAGCGGGGAGGAAGGCGAUAAGGUUAAUAACCUUGUCGAUUGACGUUACCCGCAGAAGAAGCACCGGCUAACUCCGUGCCAGCAGCCGCGGUAAUACGGAGGGUGCAAGCGUUAAUCGGAAUUACUGGGCGUAAAGCGCACGCAGGCGGUCUGUCAAGUCGGAUGUGAAAUCCCCGGGCUCAACCUGGGAACUGCAUUCGAAACUGGCAGGCUAGAGUCUUGUAGAGGGGGGUAGAAUUCCAGGUGUAGCGGUGAAAUGCGUAGAGAUCUGGAGGAAUACCGGUGGCGAAGGCGGCCCCCUGGACAAAGACUGACGCUCAGGUGCGAAAGCGUGGGGAGCAAACAGGAUUAGAUACCCUGGUAGUCCACGCCGUAAACGAUGUCGAUUUGGAGGUUGUGCCCUUGAGGCGUGGCUUCCGGAGCUAACGCGUUAAAUCGACCGCCUGGGGAGUACGGCCGCAAGGUUAAAACUCAAAUGAAUUGACGGGGGCCCGCACAAGCGGUGGAGCAUGUGGUUUAAUUCGAUGCAACGCGAAGAACCUUACCUGGUCUUGACAUCCACAGAACUUGCCAGAGAUGCCUUGGUGCCUUCGGGAACUGUGAGACAGGUGCUGCAUGGCUGUCGUCAGCUCGUGUUGUGAAAUGUUGGGUUAAGUCCCGCAACGAGCGCAACCCUUAUCCUUUGUUGCCAGCGG
RNAcentral lists this ribosomal RNA (1072 nucleotides) under Klebsiella sp. Its description in RNAcentral is "bacterial SSU rRNA". Lineage: Bacteria; Pseudomonadati; Pseudomonadota; Gammaproteobacteria; Enterobacterales; Enterobacteriaceae. The record is from RNAcentral.